RNAcentral lists this long non-coding RNA (526 nucleotides) under Salmo salar (Atlantic salmon). RNAcentral's name for it is "lncRNA (ENSSSAG00000119083.1, ENSSSAG00075045074.1)". The record is from RNAcentral. Lineage: Eukaryota; Metazoa; Chordata; Actinopteri; Salmoniformes; Salmonidae.
AAGAAGAUCAAGCAAGCUGAGUCACAAGCAUCCGCUCAAACUCCAUGUGUUGGGGGAAAUUUCUCGCCAGGGACCAGGCCCAUAUUUGAUUUUUGAUGGUAUCAUGGCUCGAGAUUUCUUUCAGGAGGGCAUCAUGCGGAGAAAUGCUGGACCCUAUGUCAGAGAGGUAUUUCUUGGACCACAUCGUUUCUUUCAAGGUGGGACCCUAGCACCCCAUGUAGCCCAUAGAAGUUAAGUUUGGCUCCUUUCCCUCUCUCUGGAUCUGAUGGGGCUCUGCCUGCUGUGGGAGGUCUGGACCUAUCGCUGGGAGCAGCAGGGGUAUGCUAUCCUGCUUUUCGUGGACCCGUGGAAGGCACAACAAAUUGUAUGAGAGGUGGGAAUGGGUUGAUUCCUCAGUUCUCUUUCCCAUUCUAUUCGGAAAGGGGGAUUAGUCAGUUGUAGAACUGAAAUGUAUCUUCCACAUUUAAUCAGAGAGGUGUGGGGGGCUGCCUUAAAUCGACAUCCACGUCUUUGGCGCCCGGGGAAC